CUUUCUGUCACAGUCCUGACAAUCUCUCCUACAAAUAACCUAACCUCAUGCUGUUGUAUGUAACUAUAAUCAUCGGCUAAAAAAAUAUCAUAUUUGUCUAUUGUGCCGUUCGAACUGACUUCCUUGGUAAAUAGAUAGUUGACAAUAAUAUUAUAAUUGCCAAAAUGUCUCAGAAAGCUUCUACGAAGAACCCUAAAGCAAAAACUAGCGAGGAGAUCUUUACAGGCUUUCAAGCACUACGCGGUGAACAACGUCAAUUAGCCAAUAAGAUUUCAGAGUUGGAAAUGGAUCUGAAUGAGCACAAAAUAGUUAUUGAAACUCUUCGCGGUGUGGAUAAAACUCGUAAAUGUUUUCGGAUGGUGGGCGGAGUUUUAGUUGAACGCACAGUUGCUGAAGUGUUGCCUGAGCUUGAGAGCAACUGUGAACAACUGCCUAAAGCCCUGAAAGCCUUGGAGGAACAGCUGUCCAAAAAAGGACGAGAGAUUAAUGAAUAUAUAGAAUGUCAUGACAUACGCCUGCAGCGAGUAGACCAGCCGCCUGCGGAGGCAGCUCCAGAGCAACCUUCCAAGUCCAAUGUUCUGGUUGCCAGUGGUUAGGCUGGUCACUGAUAUUGCAUUGCAACUAACUGCUUUCAAACUAGUCUAAAUUAAUAAAGCAGUAUUGUGUAACUAUUUAUAUCUGAACAUUAACUAUUGUACUAAGCAGUGCUGACUUGGUUUGAAUUAUCUUGUAUAUAACACAGCACUAAGACAGUAUGACAUUGUCUGCAAUGGUCCUGGUUGGCAAUAAUUUGGAAACUACUUUGUCAAACAACAGGCAGGAGUGGCACAAUGCUAUCAGUAUUGUGUUACCUGGAGGUGGUUGUGGCCUGCUAUACACUUGUCAACUAUUUCUUAUAACUGCUAAGUAAAUAAAGAUUAAAUAUUCUUGAUCCUUAUUUAUACAUAAGCUGAUUAUUACAAUACAACUUUAUUUGGUUACCAUUAUGUCAUCAGCCUUCUGUCAUCUCACUACAAGGCAAACACAGAGGAUUGAGCUUGUGAUCACCAUGCUUGCUCAAUGCUGAUGGAUUGUUAGAUUUAUUUAGUAAUUCUCUUUUAAUCAGUCAUUUCUAUUUAAGAUGUACAUAGAGAGUACCUACAUAUAAACUUUGUAUAUGAAAAGUUUCAUUGGUACUUGCCUGACAUGGUAAUGACCCUAUCUAGGCCACCACUGAUAUAUUGUUGACACUCAAUGCAAUUCUCUCUCUCAAUCAUAUUCUCGAAUUUGUGUAAUGUCUUUCUUGGACCUAUAAGCCUCGUAUCCACUGGGUAACAUUUGUCGAGUGGAGACGUGAUGCACAACAAUGUCCGUAUUUCGUCCAACGCGCAACGCGUGCUAGUUCCUCUGGCGACAUGUUGUCGACGACUGAGAAUGUGUGGACAGACAAUGUUGUUAAACAAAUGUUCGGCGUCAACAUUCAACAAGUUGCAAAACAUGUUGAGCAACAUGUCGCGCGUCAAAUGUUGCUAGUGGAUACGAUGGAUUAUGGAUACAGGCCAACACAAGUGUCAUUGAGCCUGAUGUAAGCAUGUGUUAUCCAAAAUAAAAACCAAUUUCAAAAUUGUAUACAAUUUAAUAAAAAAUAAACAAUCUAUUUUGUAACAAGUCAAUAUUAAUUGGAUAGAUUACCUAAUACCCUAAAAAAUAUUUAACAAAUGGUUUAUAACCAUUCUCUUUCAAGUCUAUGUACUUUCUUAUACUAUUAUGAUUUCAUAUGACAUAAGAAUAAUAGUUGGUACUAUCAAAUAAAGUAAUUAAUUAUUAA
This 1807-nucleotide unclassified non-coding RNA is filed under the name Helicoverpa zea (corn earworm). Its description in RNAcentral is "prefoldin subunit 2, transcript variant X1". Lineage: Eukaryota; Metazoa; Arthropoda; Insecta; Lepidoptera; Noctuidae. The record is from RNAcentral.